Molecule: long non-coding RNA, 25526 nt
Filed under: Triticum aestivum (bread wheat)
Lineage: Eukaryota; Viridiplantae; Streptophyta; Magnoliopsida; Poales; Poaceae
Description: long non-coding RNA (TAES_LNC023955)
Rfam family: MIR1120/MIR1122 microRNA precursor family (bases 6210-6344)
Source: RNAcentral
CACAUCUCCAGGGACUGCCCCCAGGGCGGCGGCGGCGGUGGCGGUGGCUACGGAGGUGGUGGCGGCCGUGGCGGUGGUGGUGGCGGUGGCGGCUGCUUCUCCUGCGGCGAGUCCGGCCACUUCUCGCGCGAGUGCCCCAACAAGACCAACUAGACGGCUUUGCCCGUCAGAUCUGAGUGCCCCGUUCCCCUUCGCUCCUUUUCCUACCGCCUGACUCUGCAGCAAGUCAUACCUAUACCUAUCAGUAUUAGUAUAUGUCGCCGUAGUGUUCCCCGUGCUUCUCGUAGGAAGAAGAAUCGACGAUGCGAGCUUGGUUCCAGAAGUAUUGUUGGUGGCGUGUUGUUCGUUUGAAGUUAUCUUGUGUCGUCUGAUGGGGACAGACCUUAUAUCUUUAUGUAUUGGAUUGAAUGGACUAAGUUAUGCAAGUCAAGUUAUGCUGUCUGAUUUUGAUAUCAUUGAAACUUGCAUGUUCUUUUCAUUUUUCCAAAAACAAAAACAGCUGAUCGUUUUUCAGUUCGCGCGGAUUCGUUUCUCCAGUUGUUGGGUCUUCGUCUGCAUCUCAGAGCGUGCUCCUCUGGGCGUCCAGGCUAGAAUGUUCAUUGUUUAGUAGCAUGCUUGAGUGCUAUUGUUCAGAGAUUAGUAUUAGUAUAUUUGUUCAGAUAUUAGAAUUUUUUCAUGCGUCAUAUUUCAGUCAGAUUGUGUUCAAUGCAUGAAUGAACAGCCUCACUAUUUAGAUGUGUGUACUGAGAUCACAAGAAGUUUUGGAAGCUAUGUUUUGCUUACAGUUUCUCUAUGCUUUUUGUUCCUUAGUCUGUCAGCUUGCAUCAUUGUUCAGUAUAUCGUGGUUUUCAUAGAUUAACUAUCUGUCUUAUUGUACAGUCAUUUCUCAUUUCAUUAUUCUGUUUGUUAUUCACACAAUGAGCUCUUGCCUGGCGAUGGCUUCUUAUGUCCAGUAUUUUUUUCAUAUAGUUUUUCUUUCAUAGUCAAGCCCAUUCAGCUCAGUAUUUUAGCACCUCACUUUUCUUCAGUUUUUCAUUCUUCAUGAGCGAUAAAUCACGCUGAAGGCUCUACUUGCACUUCUUUUGGUCUCUCUUUGUCUUGAAGCUCUUAUUCAGUUUUUAGCCUUUUAAUUCGGCUUCACCAGUUUCUUUGUUCCUUGUAAUUUCUGUUUAAAGUUUCUCAAAUUUUAUCCAUGGCACAUAGCAUUAUUUAUUCAUAUUGCGGUAAUGAUUAUGAUCCAUCCUUUUGGAAGUGACAAACAAAGAAGCACCCAGAGCUAGACACUUUCUUUUGCAUGGUCAAUCUUUUUUUCAUUUGCAUGGUUGGUUUUUGCAUUGACGGUGAAUUUCAAGUGCAAUCAAACUGUAAGUCAGUCACCUUGGUUCAUUUUGUACCGAUGAAUGGAAAACUGGAAAUUAGCGUUUGCUUUCUACUCCCUCCGUUCCUAAAUAUUUGUCUUUCUAGAGAUUUCAACAAGUGACUACAUAUGGAGCAAAAUGAGUGAAUCUAUACUCUAAAAUAUGUCUAUAUACAUCCGUAUGUGGUAACCAUUUGAGAUCUCUAAAAAGACAAAUAUUUAGGGACGGAGGGAGUAUGAAGUAGGGCCAGAUGGCUUUUUCUCUCUAAAAUUGACUGGCAAUUGCAUUUGUAGCCAUGGAACACACACCUUUGCUGAUAGUCCAAGUAGCAUACUUUUGUUAGCUAUUCAGAAAAGAUGUUGCUCUAUUUCUAUCUCAUCAGUAUUAGUGUGUGUUUCUCAUCAGUAUUAGUGUGUGUUUCUUCAGUCUUUUCUCUGUCAGUGUUUAGAUUUCAGUGCUAUAUCAGAUAUAUCUUCACCAACGCAGCAUUUUAUCGAACAUGCAAGUCUAUCUAGCUUUUUUUCUUACAUUUUGGCCUCAAGAAUUUGUGCCGCUAUGUUUUCUUUUUCCAGAGAUGAUCACGUGUAUGUAGUUUACCGUGUGCCUAUUUAGUUGUAGUGUCAAGUGGCAGGUCAUUGUGGGAUGAAUGUUUCUUGAGUAUGAUCUGUAGUAGACUAUUAAGAAUCCUGAAAUCUUGGAUUUUGGUGGCAAAUUAGUACUCUGCAUGUGUAUUAAUAUGAAAGUAGACUUGUCAAUUUAAUUUCAAUUGGUGAUGCUUAUCAUGUGCAUUCUGAGAUCAACAGCCGAUGGAUCUUGAAUUCCAGGGCCUAGUUCUGAAUCUGUUACAUUGGCCAACGAGCUCAGUGAGUUACAUGUCAACAAUUUACUCUAGCAUGGUAUAUUUGAACUUGGCUGGCUGGGCAACUUGUACCGUUUAUAUGCUUUUGUAUUUCUUUUUGUGAAUAUAUUUGGUUUUGUAUAUACAUGACCUGAUUUUAUAUGCUUGGCUGAAAGUUGCACUGGUAAAUUUCAUGUUGCUUGUUUCUCAAGAGUGUUGUCUGGAGGUUUGGUUAUUUUUUUUUUGAAACGGGCAAAAGAUUUGCCGCAUAUAUUAAUUAAGAAGGAGAAGAAUGUUUUGUUACAGGCCCGCAACUACAAGGAUUUUACUCUCCCGGAAUGAUGGUCCCUAACUUUUUUGCGCCUGCGGCGACCCAGAGUUUAGCUUCAAGCUUGAUGUUGUUGAGCAAGAUUGUUGGCGGAGAGGACUUGUUGCGGAAGACCCUCCUGUUUCGUUCAUUCCAAAUAGACCAAGAUAUUAGCAUGGUAAGGGAAGCCCGGGCCUUGCGAUUUGGCAUGGAGAUGUUGGAGCGGUUGACCCACCAAUCUUUGACAGAUUGCUCAAGAUGACAUGUAGGAGUGUGAAGGUGCUCAAGGUGUAGCCAUUCAUUGACCAAAUUCCAGAGGCGAAUGGUGAAUCUACAUUUGUAGAAGAGGUGGGCGCUGGACUCUUGUACACGCUUGCAUAGGGGGCAAAGGUUGCAAUUUGGCCACCCCCGCUUUGCCAGUCUGUCAGCUGUCCAAAUCCUAUCUUGGAUAGCCAACCACACAAAGAACUUCACUUUAGGCGGCGCCCAGGCUUUCCACACCGCAUGUGGCAUCGGAGAGUGUGUAGAGCCCAUGAAUUGUGCCAAGUAAGCGCUUGCCGACGAGUAUUGUCUGUUCUUAGUGUGCUUCCAGAUGAUUUCAUCCUCGACGUGCUCCACAAGAUGAAAUCCAUUGAUGAGAGUCCAAAGGUUUAUGAAUUGCCUAAUGUGCUCGACGGUGAAGCUUAUCGUGAUCUUAAUCUUGAAGAUCCAUGCAUCAUUGAGGAGCGCAUCCUUGACUUUCCAUUUUUUCCUUGAGGAUGCCUCGAAGAUAAGAGGCGCGAUUUCCUUAGGCUUUCGGUCUUGAACCCAUGGAGCUUCCCAAAAGGGGGUCCUCGCCCCAUUACCAACCGUGAUUGUUGUGCAUGCGUAGAAGAGGUUGAGGUCCAUCUCAUCGUAAGGAUUUCCCAUGCCGACCCACAUUCUUGUUGGUUCCUUCCACUCGAACCAAGGCCAUCUCAGUCUUAGGGCUCUUGCAAAUUUUGUUGUGUUCAGUACUCCGAGUCCUCCCCUCUCAAAAGGUCGGCAGACCAUGUCCCAGUUGACCUUGCACUUGGCACCAGUCGUCCUGUCCGCGCCGGACCGAAGGAAUGCCCUCGCAAUCUUGUUUGUGCUGUGUAGGAUGCUCGGGGGGACAAUCAACGGCGUGAUGUAGUAGACCACUUGCGAGGCGAGUGAAGAUUUGACAAGUGUGGUGCGCCCGAUGGUGGUGAUGUUGUUACCCUCCCAUGGGAUGAGCUUAGCCGCCGCCUUGUCCUCUAGGAAUUGAAAGUCCACUUUCUUGAGUUGCCACACCGAGAGUGGAAGCCCCAAGUAUCUCAUCGGAAAGGAAGCCCUCACCGCCGGCAAGCUUUGGGUGAUAUGCUCAAGGUUUAGGUGUGCACAUUUAAUUGGGACGAACGAGCUCUUGCUGAAGUUGGUUUGGAGGCCUGAGACCUCACCAAAGCCUUUGAGGAUGGGGGCGAGGUUGUCAAUGUCUCGCUUAAUGGGCGCCAUGAAUACCGCGACAUCAUCCGCAUACAGGGAGGUUUGCAUGAUAGUGCCUCUACCCUGGAUUUUGUGGAGUAGCCCCUUUCUUGUAGCCAAUUCGAGAAGUUGUUGAAGGGGGUCGAUAGAGAUGACAAAUAAGAGAGGUGACAAGGGGUCCCCUUGCCUGAACCCGCAGCGGUGGAAGAUUGCGGGGCCGGGCACCCCAUUGAGGAGAAUCCUGGAUGAUGAAGAGUUUAGGAGAGCAGCCACCCAAUUGUGGAACUUGCAUGGGAAACCCCUCCUACGCAGGAGAUUGAGGAUAUACUCCCAACGCACCGAAUCAAAAGCCUUGCGGAUGUCAAGUUUAAAGAGGAGAGGAGGAGGAGGUUUGGUUAUCAUGAAUAUCAAAGGAUGAAACAUAAUAAGGUCAUUUCGUUUACCUCUGCAUGAUUUUAGUGUGUUUCUUCAGUCUUUUCUCUCAGCUUUCACUUCAGAUGUUAUUGCGAAAACACCCACAGCUUAUCAAAUCCAUUUCUUUAAACGCAACAGCGUCGCUAGGUACGUCCUUGUUCUUGGCUCCUUUGACUCCAGCCCCAUAAGCUAUUCUUUCACCUGCCUUUCAAAUUUUACAACAUGCUAUCCGUCUGUUUUACCAUUUUGCCUUGGGUUUUUGUGUCACUUCUGUUGAAGGCGGAUGUUGUCAGUUUUCCAGAUUGUGAACAUGAGCUGGGGAGGAAUUAUUUAGUUUCAGCUUUCAUGAAACAGAAAAGCUAACCAGCGAAAUAAGGUUUUUGGUGAUCUCCAGCGAACACCCUUCCUCGGCCUUCAUACUCAUCCAACCCCCGCCCCCACUUUCCUCAUCCUCACCACUCUCUUCUAGGCAGGCCCCUGUGAUCUUCGGCCAUUCUCGUCGUUUAUCUCCUGUGGUCGAGGUUUGGCUGUAAGUCUCUAUUCUUGCCACCGAUCUAUCACGCAGUCCUUGACGACGAGAAUGGAGCUCGACUUCUGAUGUUCUUCCCUCCCAAGAUUCCCUGUGGUGAGCAACGCCACUCUUUCCCGAUGGAACCAGACAGCAGCCGAGGAGGCACUGCAUCGCUCGAACUGCCAUGGAUGGACUUGCUUUAGUUCCUGGAUCUGUCGGCGUGCCUUGCAACCGUCGUUGCCCCUCCAGGAGAUCGACGCUAGCGCGGCGACCUACGACUUGGCUUGGAGCCCCUACGGCUAGCUGCUCGCCAUGGCCGCCUCCGGCCGCCGCAAGGAGCUCCUGUGCCAGAUCCAACACCACGCAGGUUGCUCCCAAGCCUCCAACCUCCGUCCGCCUCGAAGGACUGCGGCAUGGUGCUCAUCCUUAGGUUCUCCCCCUGCUCUCUCCCUCCCUUCCAUCUUUCUUCUGCUUUUUGUGCUCCCAAUUGGUGUGUGCUUGCUGGUCUAUGGCCAUGGCCGGUCCUUGUGUGCGCACUAUGCGAUGGACCGCGGCGUGGUGCUCAUUCCCUUGGGUUAUUCUCCCCCUGCUUGCUCCCUCCUUUCCAUCUUUCUUCUUCUGUUUUUUGUGCUCCCCAUUGGUACGCACUCUGUGCUUGCUGUGCUUCCAGCUCAUAGCAGUUCAGUAGUCUUUACACAGGUUUCUUCAGAUUUCCAACGUGAACGAAUUUAUUUUUAUGCCAAAUACCAGCUAUGUUAGGCUAUGAGGAUGGGCCAACUCAUAUAAUAACAUAAUGGCAAAUCCAGAUUUGUUGUCAUGGCUAUAUCAUGCGAAUUGUAUGCUUUCUAUCAUGGCAAUUCACCAAUACCUUUUCCUUUUUGUUGCGCUACACUGUGAGGUAUCUAAUAUUUUAUAUCAGUAUGCAAGUUAGGUACUGUUUGGUAUUGCUUCGCUCCACAACUCCGCUCCCGGAGUUGGCGAAGCUGCAGUUCAAAAUGGCGGAGUUAUAGUUUCCCCGCUCUGUAGAUUCCGGGAGUGGGUGAUUAUUGAACAGGGCCUUAGUCUAGUUGGCAAAUUCAUAUUAGGUGUGUAGAUAGUGUGGACAAACUGCCAUGGCAAAUUCACAUCAAGCAUUAAGAUAGUUUUUAGUUGGCAGUAAACUGCCAUGGCACUUUUUUAUAGUCUCCAUCUACUAAUACAAGGCCAGUUCACAUUUUUAUGUCUAAUUUGACCAUUAAUUUUACCAACAAAAAUUGAGUUAUAUGCCAUAAGAAGUACGUUACUAGAUGCGCAUAUGAAAGAACCUUUUGAUAAUAUAUUCUACUCCCUCCGUUCCAAAUUAGUUGACUCAGAUUUGUCUAGAUAUGGGUAUAUUUAGACAUGUUUUAGUGUUAGAUAUAUCCGUAUCUAGAUAAAUUCAAGUCAACUAAUUUGGAACGGAGGGAGUAUAUGACAGACAACCCAUAUUUUCUUGACCAAAAUUAUCAGUCAAAGUUUGAAACAAAAAAUGAAGUGGUCUUGUAUAUUAAAAUGGAGGGAGUCUAAUUUUGCCAUGUUACAUGGUUGCAAUUGGUGAAGGCAAUUUCCACACCAAUUUUUACAAUCAGUAAACUGCCAUGGCAAUUAGUCUUUCUUUUUGCAAUGACAUCUUACAUAUUUUUGCCAUUUUAUACUGUUGGUGAUCGUUGUUGUGAAUGCAAUUUUCACCCUUCACAGUCCGUAAAAUUGCCAUGGGCCUUGUAUAUAAAAAUGAAUGGAGUAUAAUUUUGCCAUGUUACACAGUUGCAAUUGGUGAAGGCACUUUCCACACCAGUUCUUACAAACUUUCAUGGCAAUUAGUCUUUCUUUUCGUAGUGACACCUUACAUAUUUUUGCCAUUUUAUAUAGUUGUUGAUCGGUGUUGUGAAUGCAAUUUUCACCCUUCACAGUUCAUAAAAUUUUCAUGGGCAAUUUAGUAUGAUUUUUUGCCAAGAGUCCAUGACACCUUAUAUAUUCUUUUUGCACGGAUUUUUCAUAAAAUGUGUAUCCAACACAUGGCAAUUUUUGGAAAAUGUUUGUUUUUGAUCAUUAGCAUUUUCUUAAAAGAAGAAAUGUUCUAUACAACAUGGCAAGUUUGAAACAUGUUUUUCAAAUGGUCAAAAUCUGUUCUUUUUGUUAUUAUUAUUUAAUAGAUGUCAAUUAUUAGUAUUAAGAGAUGGCCCUUUUAUUAUUAAGAAAUGGCCUUUUAUUAUUAGGAGAUGGCAUUUUUGUUUAUUAAGAGAUGCAUUAUUUAUUUAUUAAGAGAUGCAUUUUUUAUUUAUUAAGAGAUUCCAUUUUAUAUUAAGGUAUGACAAUUUUCUAUUAAGAGAAAACAUUUUUUGUUUAUUAAGAGAUGCCAUUUUUUUUAUGAAGAGAUCGACAUUUUUAUAUUAAGAUGUGACAUUCUUAUAUUAAGAUGUGACAUUUUUAUGAUUAAGAGAGGCAUUUUUCUUCUUCUUUGUUACAUUUUUUGGAAAGGGAUGCUUUAUUACUUAAAAGUUUUAAGCAUUACAUCCGGCCUCUGCAUAACUAAGAUGCAUAAAUAAGAUGCACACAACCAAAAAUAUAUAGACGUUCAGAGCAACAUGGCAACUCAAAUUAUAGGACCACGGCAAGUGUAAAUAUAUUUUUUGUAUAUCCAUGGUGGAUAUAUGAUAUUAGAGGACGGCAUGUUUCAGAAGUUCAGAGCAUGGAUUUUUUAAAAUAUUUAUUUUAAAAAAACUAGUCAAAAGAUUUACCAUUUUCAUUGAAUACAGAAGUAUUAGACAUUGUGGCCACAAGCCAGAUUACAAAACAUCACACUCGCGGCAUUAGAAUACGCAAAUACUUCGCUCCAGCAAGUCCUCAUAGACUACAUUUCUCUAUUACUCUGACCGGCACUGCAAAGUCGCGGAAGACCCUGGCAUUGCUUUCCUUCCAUGUUUCCCAUAAGAUGAGAAGUAUUAGGGAGAUGAGUGGUCGCCGGAACUGCGUCCUGCUGGUUGCAUUAAGGCUCCACCACUCGAAUGAAUCAUCCAAACGGCAGCUUCACGUCCAUGUAGAUCCCAUAUUUGUAUGCCUUAGUUGAGAACACCAUCAACCGAAACGGCAGUUUCAGUUUCCAUGUCCAUGUAGAAGAGGCGCCGAAGGCGUUAGGCGUUGUGCAAUGAUAGGUGCUUAGAAAAAUAAAUCAGAUUUUUUUUAAAGCAUUAAUGUCUAUUUCUACAGAAGAGAUGCCUAAUUAAGCAUUUAUUUUUUACAAAUAAGCAUCGGUGCUUAAAUAAACAUUGAUUUAUUAACCUAAGCACCUUUCCUAAGCAUCUUGCAUUGUACAAGACUGGUUGUUGUUGGGUCUGGAAGAUCAUACCCGAUAGUUAGUUAGUCAAAUUUUUUACCGUGACCCAGCAUGAUUACUCACGUGCACGUGUCACAGCAUGAUUGGGCAAAAGACCGACUGUCCUCAAAUGAAAAAACAGCCGACUGUUGAAUAGACAGUCGAGAAGAACAUAUUUGAAUUUUGAAACCAAACAGAACUGGACCCAAUAGAACAAGUUACUCCAACUCCCGAGGAACGUCACAGCAUGAUGAAGAUAAGCAGGUUUUAUACGGCCCUGAUUACUGUAUUUCGCACUACUACUAGGCCAAAUGCUACUCCAUUUCGGGACUCCUGUUACUCCAACCAAGUAGCGUGCCCGGCUUCUGCAAGGGAGUGGCAAUGAUGACGGCGCGCAUUUGGCUUAAUUCACUGCUUGUAGUCGUCGCUAGUAGUUUAUAGAUUUAGAUAUAAUUUUUAUUAUUUAUGAUGUUUGUUGUACUAUCAUGAUUGAAAAUAAAUAGAUCGAAAAUUUUCUCGUAAAAGAAACACCGAAGGAUCCCGGCGACAGAUUCAGCCCGUCUAACCAGUCUUGAUUCGUCCCUCAAACCAUGUGCUACGACCCCAAAUAAUGAAGUUAAAAUACUCUGCGUGCAGGAUCAUGGUCCCAGAUCUUCAACAGCAAGUGUAAUUGUUUAGCAUGCCAAUGCCCACUUUUAUAUGUCUUUGUAGUAGUAUUUGUGUAACUGUCGACCUGUCUGACUCUGCUGUUAUAUGUAGUGGUACUCGAAUCCAAUGCUCGCUUGGAAAAUGCAACUUGACGUCUAUGCAUCCUUGCUAAGCAAGGCUCAAUGAUUCUCUGUCAUGAUAGAAGGAAAAUUUAAUCACUUGUGCUGUCAACCCCUCCCAUUACGUCCGCAUGUCAUGAUAUAAGCUUAAUCUGAAUUCAGCAGUCUCUGAGUACUUAUUAAGAAACAAGGCACGUAACUGGAUAUUCAAUUCGGUGACCAAACUCAUAUGCACCCGGCGAAAAAAAAAGUUUGAAUUUUUUUAGGUGCAAGAUGUUCCGAUGCGUGAUGUUCGUGCCUAAUUUCAGCUUUUUCAGACAUCUGAGGAGCUCAUGGCAAAAAAGAUAAAAUCAAUCAAAAUAGUACAUGAACAGCAAACUCUCUUACAACCACAAAAUUUGUCCUUUUUUGCUGAGAGCUACUGAAAUGUCCAAACUCCACUAAGUUUGUCAUGAACUUCAGGCACAUGAGCAUCUAGCAUCACAAAAAAAUUCAGAUUCUUUUUUUCAAUUUUAAACGAAUUUACUGUUUGUAACUUCCUGAUUAAGACUAGAAGCUCCAUUGGAGAGCUUAGUGCAAAGUGGUGUGUUUUGCCUUAGAUGAAGGGAAUCCAAAGACUUAGGAAUAGACCAAGCAUAAUGAUGCCAUGAAUUUUGGAGCUCCUUCCAAAAAUAUGACCUGCAAAUGGAGUCAAGGCGCGUGCAUUGCUGUCUAGAACACCUGGAAGUGACAUAAUUCAUAUACACACUGAACAAGUCUUUCAUAGCUUACGAUGACUUAUUAUCUGCCGUUUCUUUAGCAUUUUUUCAUAAGAAAUCUAAUAGCCACUCCCACAUGUAUGAACUAAAUUUCUCGAUUUCAUGUGUUCCCGAGCAUUUGUCGGUAAAAGGACGGGUCUGUCACGGGUCCGUGAAAUGAUGGUAGAGUCAUCAUGGAUCCGUGGAGGAGCAACUUCGUCGUAGGGCACAUACCACUAUCACAGAUUCAUAGUUCAGUUCAUUAGACAUGCCAAUAAAGGCAUGCACAACGAAAUCGCGUACGGCGAUCAUCAUGAUGCUUCAAGGGCAGAGAGACAUGCUUACUACUCCUUCCUAAAUAGUAUUCUUUGUGUAAACUAACAUAAAAGCGUUUAGAUUACUAAAAUAGUGAUCUAAAUGCUUUUAUAUUAGUUUACGGAGUGAGUAUAAGCUUUUUAGAUAUUUCAAUAUAAACAACAUACGGUGCAAAAUGAGUAAAUCUACUCUCUAAAAUGCGUCUAUGAUCCUGUUUGGUUCAGCUUUUAUCGACGGAUUCCGCUGCCGUGCAGCAGAAUCUGAACCAAGCGAACCCAACAGAAUCCGAUUCCAGAAAUCCGCUGCCAAAAUCCGAACCAAAAACGAAAGCAGCCCAAGAUGUACUUUCCAAAAUCUGAUUUCGCCGCGGACCAAAAUCUGAAAAAGCUAUAUCAGCUGGUUUGCCGAAUGUCCUACAUCUUUUUCACAUCAGAUUUUCCACAGCUGUUUUUUCACAGCUGCUUUUAGAAAUUUACAGCCGAACCAAACAGGGCCUAGAUACAUCCGUAUGCAGUACAUAUUGAAAUCUCUAGAAUGGCCUAUAUUUAGAAACGGAGGGAGUAGGAGGCAAGCGAGUCAUCUUCAUGACGUUGCUUGCGGUUCAUAACUUUGGACCAACAAUGUCUGUUCACAAGAACAUCAACCCCCCUCGGACAUGUUACAACUGACAAAAACCCGGAUUAUUGUCCACAACUAUUUUACUUGAGCCACAGAUCAAUCACGGUUAACUAAUCCAAACCGAUAAAGUUAAUAUUUGGGAGUCAGAUAGAUACACAGAGAAUAAUCAAUAAGACCAAACAGCAAGCCCCGAUUCCUCGAGCAGACCGAACGAAACGAAUUUCUUCCAUAGCGACCAUUCAUCCAAAGAUGUAUCUCAGCUCGUAUCACAGAUGCGACGAGCCUCAAGGCCGGUCCCCCAUAUGCAUCAUGAAUCAUUUCCAGCAGUAGAACAGGUUUGCGCGCGAUCUGUUCAAAUCAUAGUCACCUCAGGCAAAUCAGUAUUCAGAAGCACGAUCACCGGCCCGUUUUCGCGCGUUUCAUCCCGGUGGAGUUGAACGGUGAUACACUGGGACUGAGAUGGGGGCUUGGGCUUGGGCUUUCCUCCUCCCUUAGAGUGCCAUUCAGUAUUGCCAAUUCUCUCAGCUGUUGCUUCUUGAAGUAAUCCAUGGAUUCAUCCUGGUGAUACGCAAUACCGUUAGCAAGACAGGUAAAGCCGACUCAAUUCAAAGAAAAAAUGAGGUCAUGGAAAUGUGGGAACUGCGACAGAUAAGAUGGUAAGCGACAUACUACUGGUUUGAGAAGAUCUUCCAGUAUGACCACAGCCUGGUUUAGUCGCGCAUCAACGAUAUCCGCCGGGAACUCAGCUUCGAUAAGCACAUGCAGUGGUUCGUUUAAGUGCUCAUAGCCAGGCUUAGCUCUAAGCUUGUUUUCCUAUUCAAUAAAAAAAAUCAGCUUUCAGAACCUCUCCAACAAUAUUUUUGGUAGUCACUGGAUGAGAGGAAUUGUUAAACACAAGAGUUAAUUCUAUUAAGCAUGCUUACAAAAAUAUACUCCCUCUGUAAAGAAAUAUAAGAGCGUUUUCAAAAGGGAUGCCACUGAAAUAAGUUGUGAAAAACAAUCAACACACCAUACUAUCUAGGCAACAACAUGAGAAUAUAGGCAAGAUGAAUAUAAUGAACACACCACAUUUUAACUGACAGCUCUACUAAAAUAUCAAAUGUUACGGGGUGAGAUACAAAUGGUGAGCAAACAUAGUAUACGGAGCCUAGAAGGUUUGUUUAGACUUUCUGCACUGUUUGUGGGUAAAUUACUUGUAGAAUUUUCAUCUUAACAAGCCAUGGCUUGAAGUUUACGACGCUAGAACAUAACAAAUACCUGAGCAGAACUGGAACCGUUCUUUUACUUCAAUCAAUACAUAUGCUGCCCAUUACUAGCUCAACAUCUAUCAGCCUUUUACUGUGUAAGGCAUAUUGUACUUAUAAAAACAUGGGAGUUUGCCGGCCAAAAAAAAACAUGGGAGUUUUACAUCAAUCAGAAGAAUUCAGGAUCAACCUUCAGUUUUACUUGCAUAUCCAAUUUAAUUAACAAAUAACAACCAUACAUACUAUAUCCAUAUUUUAACGUGCAAAAUAAGCACUGUAACGGAACACGGUCUUAAAAUGUUUCUAGAAAAAAGGUGGUGCUAGAACAUUCUAAGAGUGUGAGUAAGCAACAAUGAAAUGGUGGUUCUAAUCUGUGUUUAAUUACCUUCACAGUAUCUUUCACUGAACCACGUCCACGAAUAUAGACUCUACAUUGUGUUGUAGCUUCAACUCUUUUCAGGGAGUUUCCUCGUGGCCCCAACAAACGGCCAACAAAGUUGAACUAAACAUAACAAAAGAUUGCAGAUGAUUUGAAUUUAGUAAAUCUCAUAAUCGAGUUAAAUAGUUUAUCAAAACAGCUUGAGGUGAAAGUAUGUCGUACAUACAUUUGGAUACUUUUCUGCUGGAACAUCCAUCCUGACAAGUUUCUUCACAACAGGGCCGCCAACAACUCCAGGACCACCAUUCCAGCCCAUGGAUGGUGAAUGGUGUAUCCCCAUAUGCUGAAGGCAGGCAUUUUAAUAUAAUCAAUGAAAAGAAAUAAUAUGUAAGUGUUUCUAUUUGGCAUUGAAGAUGGCCAGUGUUGCACAUUAAUUAUUACUCCCUCCGUCCCAAAAUAAGUGACUCAACUUUGUACUAACUUUAGUACAAAGUUAAGUCACUUAUUUUGGGACGGAGGGACUACAUGAUAAGAAGUUGUACAAGUCUCUUAGUUGUAAUAUCAGGAAAACGAUAUGAAUAAAGAGUCCAUAUAUCCGCAUCACUUCCUUAACAAAACCCAGGUUGAUUCUCUACUGUAUUGUCGAAUUACGAUUUUCAUGGGUGGAUGAAAUUGCUCACAGGUCGUAAAGAUCGGUUACAAGAACGACUGGCCGAGGUUUACCUGGUGUCAAGCUUCUAUCAUUUACAUAUAAUUAUCCUCAUGGGUAGAACCAGUGAUUCCUAAUCAUUAAUCUCGCAGGAAUAAUUUUGAGAUCCAAGGCUUGGAUGAAAAUCACCAUUGAACUAGCAAGAACGUUGUCAUUUUCUCAAAAGGAAAAAGCCAAAACAUGCCAUUCUUGAAUUAUUCAAAGCUAUUAACAUCUGUACUGUAACAGUGGCUGUAACUUGAUUGGUGCUUUUGAAACCAUUCCUAUUAGUAUGACAAUGUAUAGCUUUCCUUUUUUCCGUUUCAUGUUAAUGAACUGGACAGCUGACUGAUACUCGGUCUUAAAAGUGGUUCAUUGGUUCCUGCGAAUUUCUAAACAGCUUCAAGGAUAACAUGAACUAGUUGGCAGCACUCGUAGAGAUUUGCAUAUUUGAAAUAGCCAUAUUAGAAUAAGAAAAAAAAGUAGAGAAAGUAGAUGUAAUCAUGCCAGCAUUUCUCUAACAGCUAUAUAGAACGUUAAGGCAGUUAGGACUUGUAAAACCAAUAAUCAGAAGAUUGUAUGAAUUUGCACAACCUCUGCAUGCAUUCCAGUCCAUCCCUCCAUAUCCAUUGGUUGACCGUUCAUAGGGUGGCCAGCUAAUCUUAAUGGGCUACCAUAAUCGAAUCUCUCAGGUUCAACAAAAUUUGGGUUAGGUGGCAAAGAAGAUGCCCGCAGAAUUUCUGCAUUGAAGAAAACAAGCCAGUACGAAAUCCGUUAGUUCUAUUUGUGUCACUUUAAAUCAGGGAGAAAAUAUCCAUGCUAUGUUUGUAUCUAUAACCUGGAACUACAACUGGAUGUUAGAAUUUAGAAAUCGCCACUCAAGUAAUAUAAUGGUUAAAUUAUGAUAAAGAAGUGAAAAGUAAGCAUGUUAACUGUAAGACAUGACUGAGGAACUUAAGGGUGUUAGACUGUCUGGUAUUCUUGUUUCGUCAAUGAGUUAGUUCUGCAUGUUAGACAAUCUCUGGCAGCAAUUUAUGUGAUUUACAUGAAUGCCAUCAUUUGGGAUUCCGAAGUAACGGUAUGGUGGAACAAGACUGAUAACACAUUCUGAAAAGAAAUCCUCAUGAGCAGCUUUUCAUAUAAAGAGAACGGACAUGAUUGCUCAAAGAAGAAUAGCAAUUUCUUCUGACAAACAGCGAGGAUGGCUAAGAAUAGCAACUGGGUGAAUGUAAACACUCUAAUAGCAACUAGAAUCUACGGUUACUGGGAACUACAUAAACAAAUACAGUAGCUUCCAUGUAAUUUGAAAAAAAAAAAGAGAGAGAAGGGAACAGACCUUGGUUUAAAAGCCUGUUACAAAAUGGAAGAACUUGCAGGAAGGGAACUAGUUUCUGCCUCUCAGCAAGUAACUCAGCAAUAUACCUGCAAAGCAAACCAUCUCAUUAGUAAGAUCAACUGCAAGUACCACAGGCACAUAUUUACUUAAGAGCAGAAAAUAAGAGUAGCACCAAUAAUUAGCGACCUAAUCAAAAGUCAAAACAACGAGCACCCUGCAAAUGAACUUCACACUACCAGAGGCCAAUCGAGGACAUCAUGCUCAUUUAUUCGUAACAGCAAGCACAAAUCUACCAUCAGCAGGCAAUAUCCCCAAAUCCUCAACUUGGGAGAUCACUACAGCGUGGGGACAUCAUUUGACCAUCACCAAAAUCACACCGGGACGGUGAAGAUUAGGCACAAAUCUCGCACGACCAGAGUCAAAUCUCACGCCCACGACGAGUUUUUCAAGCUAGUAGAAUCGUCGCAAAGAUAAAAACGAAAACUUCACGGCAGUUCACAAGAGGAUGAGGAUGGGGCACAGACCUCUCCCUCUCGGAGGCAGACGACCUCAUGGGGUUGUGGUGGUGAGGGGAAGAAUGGACGCCGGACGGCGAGUACUGGAAGAAAGGGGGCGGCGGGAUCCUCUCAUCCAUGGCUCCCAGCAUGAACAAGAAACCAAAGAAGAGCCCUGCAAGAUUUCGUUGCAAUCUCUGGGCAAGCCAGGGAGCCCAGGGAGCCAAGAAAUCUGGAGAAGGGAGGAAGAGGAGCAGCUGGCGGCUAUCAAGGCAAAUGAAUGUGGUGGAGGCCCUAUAUGGGAUCCAAUGAAAUCUAGAAAAGACAGGAAGGUGCCAAGAACCGAGAAAUAAGUGCAGGGAUGGGUGGGGAUUUGAUGAUUAUAUAUGCUAUGGAUUAAACAAAAAGGGGAGGUGAUAGCUGGGUUCGCGUCAAUCAAUUAUCGGAGCCCAGGCUGUGCGGGGCUGGCAGCGGCAGCAGCAGCAGCGCUUUGUGCCUGCCCGCUCCUGCUGUUCUUGCUCGCUGUUCCUCCUCCCUGUACUGCAGCGUCGCACGCACCCUGUGGAGAGGGGUUGUGGGCGACCGGUGAGAGGGGGGAAGAGACAAGCCGGGGGCCUUGGAUGCUCGCUCGCUGCUCUAUGCAGCUGUGGUGUCGCUCACCGGCUUCUGAACUUCGGGCUAUUCGAGGAGAGAAUUUCCUUAUCUGGCCCUUUUUUAAAUUUUGAUUUCUUUUUUGCCUAAAAAACAUCCUUUUUUCUUUUUUAACAUUUAAAUUUAUUUUGUUUCCUAUGUGUCACUUCCGUUAGUUUUGACAAGUAACAGUAUUAAGUUUAACCUAGAAAGACGGUUUUACCCCUUGUGUAGAAUGUGACCUGAUUAUUUACAUGCAAACGUAGAGGUAAUGUAAUAUUUUUUGUUCGCCCAAAAAAAGUGAUAUAUUUUGCUGUAGUUCAAUAAUAAAAAAAUAGUGCUAUAUAUAUAUAAUAGUACUUGCUGUAGAAAAAAGAAUAGUUACUACCCAUGUGUACACGAUUAAAUCAUCGUCACAUCGUCACGACAACUCGUGGGCGUGUCUGGCCGUGGCGGUGUACUGCCUGAGCGUGCCGGCGAGCAUGAGCAUGGCGAAGAUCUGGUGGCUGUACUAGUUGAUGUAACUUGUAAGUCGAACUGUUCGAAGUAACGUUUUUAUUUCUCUUUCAGGUCAGGAAAAAAAAAGAAAAAUGUGCAUGAGACAUGCACGAAAACACGUGUGCAAUCAGAUCACAAGGAUCUCCUAGUUGUAUUCGAUUCUGUAUACAUUACGUAUCUAUGCAGAAUUUUAAUUGUUCUCUGUCCAGUAUGCCGUCCCUAUACUAAUUGCUAAAACUCCAAAGCAUUCACAAACAUCGCGGAAUCCUAGCGCGUGACGUAGAACCCAGCACCGCUGGUGUACACGAGCUCAUGGCAGCAGCGUACACGAGCCCAUGGCUGCCUCCAGCAACACAGGAGCGGCGCUACCUCUCUUUCCAUUUUUGUUGACAAACUACUGUUAAGGGCAAAAUUGUCUUUGCACAUGCUAGUUAACAUUACUGGAUGGAAAAAUGUAUGAAAGUGUCAAAUAGGGAACAUAAUUUAAGCCAAGGUCCAAAUAAGGAAGAUUUUGUUUUAUAGGGCCAAAUAGGGAACCAUAUUUAAAAAAGGGCCAAAUAAGGAAUUCUCUCCUAUUUGAGCCCUUGCUGCUUCUGCAGCUCUCCUUUUCUAGUGUUUUUCUUUUUCUUUUGGCAGAUAUUGUCACUUCCAUCGAUUACUCCUUGAUCUAAACGCUCUUAUAUUUUUUACGAAGGGAGUAUAUUUGAAAAAGAAGAUGAUUGUGUGUCUCCUUGACUCCUCGCUUCAGAGUCAACGAUACGGAACCAUUUCAUUUUGACAUCUUGAUCGGACGGCUAUUAUCGCUGAGUCGAAAAAAGAAUUGACUAUUUUUGGUCAAGGCUCAUUUAUCCGUCCGGUCAACGGCUUUUGAUAUUUCAAAAUCUCAAAUCCAUACAAAAUCAUGCACGUAGAUCAUUUAACGAUACAUAUAGAACAAAUCAAUGAAAAUAACACAAAACAAUUCAACAAUAAAUAAUUCAGACCAAAAAAGUACUAUGUAAUUUAUAAACAUUAUUCAAAGUAUAUAAUUCAACCAAAAAGUUCAUAGGACAUCACGAAUCUAAUGUUCACUAGCAUGAACCCACAUAUACUCCACAAGACCAUUGAGUCAAAGGAUUGAACUAUAUGAAUCACUCAAUUCCAACAUCAUGAAUCGUGCAAUGCAAAAGGAUGUGAAUAUCUUGAUCGGACCACUAUCAUCGCGGAGCUAGAAAUAACUAUUUCUAAUUCAACUGAGUAAUAGUCACUCUCGAACGUAAAAACAUACUUUAAGCUGAGGAAUGGCAUAAAAACUAGAGACUAAAACACCAUUUUUAAGAAAGGCUUUAUGUUUUUCUGGCCAACCUGCUAGGGUUCGAGCCUCAUUUCUACCUUAAAUUUGGUUGGCCAACCUGCUAGGGUUCAAGCCUCAUUUUUAUAUUAAAUAUGGUGCCUAGUUCCUCCUAGGAUCAAAUUGUUUUUUUAAUAUACAAGAUGACAGUCUAGCAACAAAGAUAUUUAAACCAAUUAACUUGACGUGAGUGGGCACUCGAAAUGCAACAAAUCAACGUGGCUUAUCACCCACGACAUGGCAUAGAGAUGGACCUAGAAUAAAAAUGAUAGGGGUACACCACCACCGAGAAUUUGCAUCAACGAACUUAAGCAUCGGGCGUCAUAUACAUAUCAAGAAUAGGUUAUGUCAAGAGGAAAUUAGAAGGUACCCAGUGCCCUGUGCACCUGCAGGUUUACUAUAGGACCGCCCCUAAUAAAGUGUUGAUAAUGAUCGCCUCAAGCAUUGAGGCUGGCCUAAUUGCCAGCCUAAUUGCAUGGUUUGUUCUGUGUGGAGGGUACUGCCAGAAUCUGUGGUGCAUCAUUGUUAUCUAAUGCUAAAAGGACCUAGAUUUCAUACAAAGAGGGUGAAUGUGUGAUUUAAGAAAUCUUACAAUUUUGGCUCAAUCGUAAUGUGGAAAUUUACUAGGCGAAUCUUAUCUAGCCCAAAUCAUAAAUAUGCCAGGAUCAACUAAGUGCACCAAUAAUACAUGUUGAACAACAUGCAAAAUUAAAGGAAAACUAGCUAGCAAUUCAAACUCUGCACCAGACAUAUCAUAAUAGCAAAUGUGAAUUGUGGAAUGUAAUGUGAACGAGAGAUAACUAAUGUAUUUUCCGAGUGUUUUUGCAUCGAACUAAGACUUUAUUUCAAGAUCAUUCGGUUACAGUCUGCCCGCGGGCUUACAAGAAGAAAAUCGGGGCUCUGCUCUAGCCAGCACUCCGUGCCCUCGGCCGAGCAAGCACGUUGCGCACACAAGUGAGCCGGAGUAUUGAACUCCCUACUGACAUGGUGAACCAAAAAAGAAACAAAAUUUGAGGACUAUAUCAUCUAGUUCGUGUAAGAUAGGCACUGCAACCGAUUGAGAGUUGCCUCGCGAGUUCCAUUGGGUGACCAGCUCCAUGCUAUCAACCUCCAUGAUCACAUGUGACAUCCCGCGAAGCUGAGCAAAGAUCACACCCUCCCGGAAGGCUAGAAGUUCGGCGAUGAAAUGAUCUGAAAUGCCGACUAGCGGCUUGCACCAAGCCCCAAUGAAGGAUAAAUGGGACCAGGAAAUACCACCAGCUCUGCCUGUUAGUGCAUCCGGGAAUACCGAUCCAUCGGUGUUGAUGGUAAUCCACCCCGCGUCGGGGGGUUUCCAUCCCUGUCCCGCCUGCACCCUAGUGCGACGAACAGGUAAAUCCAGCAAAGAUAGAGUUUCAUGGAUCCAUUUAACCGCCUGAACUGGAUCAUAUCCAUCUUGUUCAUGAGUCCACUUGUUUCUGGAAGUCCAUAUUGCAUGCAUUAUUGUGAUGAUCUUGCAUUUGGUGUCAUCUGCGAACAUGGGAUCCAACACAAUAUCACGCGCCCACGUUAGUGGAUGCAGCCUAGGUAGUUGAAGGUCGAACCGACCCUUGGCCGCUAUCCAGAACUGCUUUGCAUGCGAGCAUGAAAUAAGCGCAUGCAUUAAAUCUUCAUCCAUUGACUGACAAAUGUCACAACGUCCAAGUGGUUUGAUAUGUCGAUGCUUCAAGGUCGAGGAGUCUGGCAAGAUACCGCGGAGAACUCUCCACCAGAAAACCCUAACUUUCGGCACCACAUGUAUUUUCCAAAGUGCUGACCACAACUGUUUAUUCGCUGAUGAAGUAUCUGUAGUCGUCCUUCCUCUAGAGAGCUAAGCUCGUUGCGAGUCAUUAGAGAGCGAUGCGUUGAUUUGACAGUGUACUUGCCUGACUUUUCGAGUGCCCACACCAAAGUGUCUUCCCCUCCAGCUCGAUUCAAAGGUAUGUUCAGAAUUGCCUCAGCGUCCGGGAGGAGUAAAUUUUGGCGAACAAGAUCAACAUUCCGAUUUCUAGUGUAAUCAUCAAUCAACUUCGAUACGUACUCGAGAGCGGCAGCCCCUAAUCGGCCGACUGGUUUCAUAGAGACAGUAUUGGGGAUCCAAGGGUCGUUCCAAAUAGAGAUAGAGGAACCAUCACCUACCCGAUGGAUCAGCCCCGCCUCCACAGCCUUCCUUCCCGCAAUGAUCGCUCUCCAGGUCGAAGAAGCACUCUUAGGAAUCAAAGCUUGGAGAAAGUUUGUGUUAGGGAAGUAUUUACCUUUCAACACCCUUGCACAAAGUGAAUUUGGGUUCGUUAGGAGUCGCCAGCCUUGCUUGCCGAGCAUAGCGAGAUUAAAAACUUGAGGGUCCCGAAAACCCAAGCCACCCUUGAUCUUAGGUUAUGUCAAUUUAUCCCAAGCUAGCAACUGUAGGGAUCUCUUAUCCAAAGAGCUUCCCCACCAGUACUUUGCCAUUGGCGAGGUGAUAGUCUUGCACACUUUCUUUGUCAGCUGAAAACAACUCAUACUGUAGGUUGGGAUUGCCUGAGCAAUAGAUUUUAGAAGCACUUCCCUCCCCGCACAAGCAAGGUUUCGUUCUGACCAGCCACAAAUCUUGUUGCAGAUACGAUCACUAAUGUGGCUGAAAGUACCACUUGUGAUUCGUCCAAUGGCCGUGGGCAAUCCCAAAUAUCAUUCGGAGAACGCCUCAACUGAAAUACCGAGAGAUUGUUUGAGAGUCUCUUGAAGGGACUGCUCUGUAUUGCCACUAAAGAAGAUGGAGCUCUCGUCCCGGUUCACUGCCUGACCCGAACAAGUAGCAUAUAUAUGAAGAAUCUUAUUGAGCCAUUAUGCACUUUGGGUGUUAGCUUUGAGGAAAAUGAGACUGUCGUCAGCAAAUAAGAGAUGACUAACCCAUGGUGCUUGAAAGCUCACACGGAUCCCCCUGUCAAUACGCACACCGCCAAAUUUAUUGAGCAUUGAGGUGAGUCCUUGGGCGCAUAUUAGAAAGAGAUAUGGAAAUACUAGGCAGACUUGGCGUAGUCCUUUGAACGGGCUGAAAUACGGUAGCAACUCUCCGUUAACCUUGAUGGUGAAUAUAAUUGAUGUCACACACUUCAUAAUUAGGCUGGUAAAACGAUCACCGAAGCCUAGUUUAGCCAACAUAGCUUCGAGAUAAUGCAAUUCCACACGAUCGUACGCUUUGAGCAUAUCAAGCUUGAUAGCGCAGCUGUAGUUCUUGCCCUUCUUCCUUCUCCUAAUAGCAUGGAUACACUCAUAGGCCACUAGAACGUUGUCCAUGAUUAAGCGGCCUGGAACAAAAGCGCUUUCUUCUUCCCCAAUGACCUCGUCAAGGAUAAGACGAGCGCGGUUGGCCACUGUCGACGGCGAUUUUGUACAAAACUGGGCACAAAGCGAUUAGCCUGUACCGUGAGAUUCUCUGUGGGUGAUGGACUUAGGGAUAAAAGUUAUUGCCGUAUCAUUCAGUCCCAAAGGUAGCUCCCCACCAUUCAAAAAACUCAGUAUUGCCAAAGUGAUAUCCUCCCCCACGACAUCCCAGUGUCGUUGGUAAAAAGUCGUGGUGAAUCCAUCUACGCCGGGCGCUUUGGAUGGCGCCAUAUCGUACAAUGCAGUUUUUACCUCGACCGCCGUGUACUCCCUCUUGAGUGUAUAAUUCAUGUCAGCGGUUACCCAUUGUUGAAAGCAUUGCAACAGCCCCUCCAUCAGACUGUAGCCUUGUGAUUGGUACAUUGCACGGUAGAAGUUAGUGACUUCCUCUUUUACCUCAACUGGAUCACUACUCACAUGGCCGUCAGCCAGCUCCAAUGAGGUGAUACGGUUGGUGUAAGUGCAUCUAGUGACCCAUAGUGAUUUUGGUGUAUUGAAGACUUAUAGGUUAAGGGACUAAUGCGUUUGUGAGUGUACACAGAUCUAUAAGUCUAUGAGGAGUUUGGUAUCUAUAGAGAAAGUCGACCCCUAAAAAUGAAUGUCUUCAACUGAAGACUUUGGAUUUCUGAAGACUUUGAAAGUGAAGAAAUUGGUGUGACCAUGAAGACUUGAUAUUCAUGUGAGGAACAUGAAGCGUGAAGACUUUUGUUUUUGUAGUUUCAUUUUCUCUUUCUUGAGUCAUAGGAAACACCGUACUAUUAAAGGGGGCCAAGGUAAAACUAAGGAAAAGUUUCCAAGUGAUGCUCAACUCAAAAUCCUACACCUACCAAUCCCUUCGAGUGAAGCCAUUGGAAAUCUCAUACAGUUUAGUCAAUUUCUUCAGUGACAGAGAUGAAGUUCUUCUGGUCUCUGAGGAAUUUGUCCUGACUGAGGAGUUAGGAAUUCGCCAGUGCGGAUUGCCUACAAGUGAGGAACAUGAUAGCCCUGAAGAACUUGAACCUCAAAUUUCCGACUGUUGAUGUGCUAUGCGCCAGCUGUCCCAAAAUACCUACCCACCUAAGGGUCAUAUCAUUGAAGGGCAUUUAUGUCUUACCAUGUGAUACAUCUCCAAUGUAUCUAUAAUUUAUGAAGUAUUCAUGCUAUUAUAUUAUCAACCUUGGAUGUUUUAUAUGCAUUAUAUGAUAUUUUAUAUGGUUUUUGGGACUAACCUAUUAACCUAGAGCCCGGUGCCAGUUUCUGUUUUUUCCUUGUUUUUUAGUUUUAUAGAAAAGGACUAUCAAACGGAGUCCAAUUGACGUGCCAAUUUUUGACGUUUUUUAUGGACCAAAAUAAGACCUCGGAGUAAAGAGUUGGGCCAGAAGAGUCCCAGGCUGUCCACGAGGGUGGGGGCGCGCCCACCCCCCUGGGCGUGGGCCCCUGCCUCGUGGACGCCUCGGGCACCUCCUUGACGUGAGACCGACGCCAAAAAUUCCUAUAAAUACAGAAACCUUGGAAAAUUAACCUAGAUCGGGAGUUCCGCCGCCAGAAGCCUCCGUAGCCACUGAAAACCAAUCUAGGCCCUCUCUGGCACCCUGCCGGAGGGGGCCAUCAUCACCGGAGGCCAUGGAGGAGGAUCCUGGAGGGGCCAUCGUCGCCAUGAAGGCCAAGGACCAGAGAGAGAACCUCUCCCCAUCUAGGGGGGAAGCCAUGGAGGAGGAAGCACAAGGGGGAGAACCUCUCCUCCUCUCUCUUGGUGGCACCGGAGUGCCAUCGGGAGGGGAAUCAUCGCCAUGGUGAUCGUCUUCAUCAACAUCACCAUCAUCAUCAUCACCAUCCUCAUCUAUUUUACGCGGUCCACUCUCCCGCACCUUGCUGUAAUCCCUACUUGAACAUGGUGCUUUAUGCCACAUAUUAUGAUCCAAUGAUGUGUUGCCAUCCUAUGAUGUUUUGAGUAGAUAUCUUUUGUCUUUGGAUUGAUUGAUGAUCUAGAUUGGUAUGAGUUGUAUAUUUUACUUUGGUGCUGUCCUAUGGUGCACUCUGUGUCGCGCAAGCGUGAGGGAUUCCCGCUGUAGGCUGUUGCAAUUCGUUUAUGAUUCUCUUAUAGUGGGUUGCGUGAGUGACUGAAACACAAACCCGAGUAAGGGGGUUGUUGCGUAUGGGAUAAAGAGGACUUGAUGCUUUAAUGCUAUGGUUGGGUUUUACCUUAAUGAUCUUUAGUAGUUGCGGAUGCUUGCUAAAGUUCCAAUCAUAAGUGCAUAUGAUCCAAGUAGAUAAAGUAUGUUAGCUUAUGCCUCUCCCUCAUAUGAAACUGCAAUAGUGAUUACCGGUCUUGUUAACAAUUGCCUAGGACAAUUCCGCACACCGAUCCACCAUUAUUCCACACUCGCUAUUUAUAAUAUUUAGUAAUAUAUUCUAACUUUAUGAUAAAAACACCUACUUUUAUAUUUUACCUCUCCGAUAUCAUGCAAAGUUAUCCAAUUCAUAACCACAACGUAGUUUUAUUUCUCGUUGCUAGUUGGAAGCAAACGUUUGGUGUACGUAGAGUCGUAUCAGUGGCAGAUAGGGCUUGAGAGAAUAUUGAUCUUACCUUUAGCUCCUUGUGGGUUCGACACUCCAUACUUAUCACUUCCACCUUUGGAAAUUGCUACGAUGAUUCCCUACACUUGGGGAUUAUCAAGCUCUUUUCUGGCGCCGUUGCCGGGGAGCAAUAGCGCGGGAUUGAUAUUCUCGUGUAUGCUUGUUUGCUUUCUUCACUAAGUAGAUUUUGUUUUUCCUUUUUUUCUGUUUAGUUGUGGGUGAAACAUACAAAAAACAUUUAAAAGAAUGAAAAUACCAAAAAAUUACUUGCCUCUCAUGCCUAAAAAGUUUUUCAAAAAGAGAAGUGAAUGGAAAGUUAUGCAUUGAAGAAGUGAGGGUCGACCUUGAGCACUCGUGUUCAUGCUCACGGAAACAAUGUAGAAUUUUUCAUGGAAGUUUCUCUGUAAAUAAUUAUCCCUUUAUAUAUAUCCAUUGUAUUAUAAAAAUAAUGUGCCAAGCCUUGGUUUUAGGAUGAUUAGAUUGCUUGUUUACUAUGUGCAGAACAAAAACAGAAACUUUGGAUGUAGCGCGUGAUUUUACAUUUUUUACUGGAUAGUCAAAUGAGUCUGAAACUUUUUGCACAUUACUUCUGUAUAAAUUGUUCAAAUUGUCAAAUUUAUUGCAUAAUUGUUGGAGUUACAGAAGUUUACUAAACCUCCAGAUUACUACAGACUGUCAUGUUUUAGACAGAUUCUGUUUUCGUGUGUUGUUUGCUUAUUUCGAUGCAUCUAUGGCUAGUAUCGGGGGGUAUGAACCAUAAAGAAGUUGGAAUACAGUAGAUAUAGUUAUCAUAUGAAAUUGGAAUGAGUCUGAAACAGUACCUAAAUGUAGUGAUUUGCUUUAUUAUACUAACGGAUCUCACAAAGUUUUUGUUAAAGCUUUGUAUGGAUGAAGGGUUCGAAGAACAAGGAGUUACCGAUGUGAGAAGAAUAAAGAGAGGCAAGAGCUCAAGCUUGGGGAUGCCCAAGGCAUCCCAAGUAAAUAUUCUAAGGAUACUCAAGCAUCUAAGCUUGGGGAUGCCCGAUUGGCAUCCCAUCUUUCUUCUUCAACAAUUAUUGGUAUAUCUCGGUUUUUGUUUUGUUCACAUGAUUUGUGUCCUUUGUGUUUUUCUUUUUCUCUAAGAACCAUGCUAGUAUGAGAUGUCCCUUCAUCAAUUUAUAGAAUACUUCAUGUGCUUCACUUAUAUCUUUUAAGUAUGAUCGUAUAGAAUUGCUCUUUGAGCUUCACUUAAAUCUUUUGAGUAUGGUUUUAUAGAAUGCUUCGUGUGCUUCACUUAUACAUUUUGAGCUUGGAUAUUGGUUAGUUUAUAUUAAUUGUAGAAUGCUCCAUGAACUUCACUUAUAUCUUUUGGAGUACGAAUAAUACUAUCAUCUAAAGCGGGUUUGGAAGAGUGUCAACUUUAGGAACUAGUGAUCCCGCAAUUCCGAAUGAGAAGAAUUUUGCUUAUGUGGAGAGUAGUAAAAUUUCUAUGCUCGCAGAUCAUGAAAAGAAUGCUUUAUAUGAUGGUUAUAUUGUUGAAAUCAUUCAUGAUGCUACUGAAAAUUAUUAUGAGGGAGGAAUACAUGCUUGUAGGAGUUGCAAUAAUAUCAAGUUUCCUCUCUAUGUGCUUAAAGUUUAGAAGUUAUACUUGUUUUGCCUUCCUAUGUUAGUUGAUUAUUGUUCCCAUAAAUUGUGCGCUCACAAAAUCCCUAGGCAUAGGAAGUUGGUUAGGUUUAAAUGUGCUAGUCAUAUUCUUCAUGAUGCUCUCUUUAUGCUUCAAUUCUUAUCUUUUAUGUGAGCAUCAUUGAAAUCAUCAUGCCUAGCUAAAAGGCAUUAAAGAAAAGCGCUUGUUGGGAGACAACCCAAUAUUUAUCCUUAUUGUUUUUAUGUGAUUAAGCUACUGUAGUAAUCAUGUUUUAUAGCUUUUGUUUCAAUAAAGUCCCAAGUAAGACCUUUGGGAAGACUUGGGUGAAAGUUAAUGUGAUCUUGCUGUAAAAAACAGAAACUUUGCGCUCAUGAGAUUAGCUGCCAUUUUUUACAGAAGAGUGCUUUGAUCCUGAUUCUUUUUGCAGAAGAUUAAUAGACAAAUUCCUCACGUCGACCAAUUUAUUUAAUAAUUUUUUGAGUAGCAGAAGUAUGGUUAGUGUUCAGAUCAUUACAGACUGUUCUGUUUCUGACAGAUUCUGUUUUCAUUGCUUAGUUUGCUUGGUUUCUAGUUUUUAUGGCUUAUAUUUCUCAACAUAAAUUGUAGAAAUGAUAUGGUACAGUAGGAAUUGUGUGAGAACAAUUAUGAACCUUGUCUUUGACAGUGCCAAAGUGAAUGGUUUACUCUUUAUUAUACUAACCUAUCU